CCUACGGGUGGCAGCAGUGGGGAAUAUUGGACAAUGGGCGAAAGCCUGAUCCAGCCAUGCCGCGUGUGUGAAGAAGGCCUUCGGGUUGUAAAGCACUUUCAGUGGGGAAGAAAGCCUUGGGGCUAAUACCCUCGAGGAAGGACAUCACCCACAGAAGAAGCACCCGCUAACUCCGUGCCAGCAGCCGCGGUAAUACGGAGGGUGCGAGCGUUAAUCGGAAUUACUGGGCGUAAAGCGCGCGUAGGCGGUCUGAUAAGCCGGUUGUGAAAGCCCCGGGCUCAACCUGGGAACGGCAUCCGGAACUGUCAGGCUAGAGUGCAGGAGAGGAAGGUAGAAUUCCCGGUGUAGCGGUGAAAUGCGUAGAGAUCGGGAGGAAUACCAGUGGCGAAGGCGGCCUUCUGGACUGACACUGACGCUGAGGUGCGAAAGCGUGGGUAGCAAACAGGAUUAGAUACCCCUGUAGUC
This 465-nucleotide ribosomal RNA is filed under the name Vreelandella stevensii. RNAcentral describes it as "partial 16S ribosomal RNA". It matches the Rfam family "Bacterial small subunit ribosomal RNA", at positions 338 to 795 of the family's 1533-position model. The record is from RNAcentral. Lineage: Bacteria; Pseudomonadati; Pseudomonadota; Gammaproteobacteria; Oceanospirillales; Halomonadaceae.